RNAcentral lists this ribosomal RNA (261 nucleotides) under uncultured archaeon. Its description in RNAcentral is "partial 16S ribosomal RNA". It matches the Rfam family "Archaeal small subunit ribosomal RNA", at positions 748 to 1009 of the family's 1478-position model. The record is from RNAcentral.
UAGCCGUAAACGAUACUCGCUAGGUGUCGGCCACGGUGCGACCGUUGUCGGUGCCGUAGGGAAGCCGUGAAGCGAGCCACCUGGGAAGUACGGCCGCAAGGCCGAAACUUAAAGGAAUUGGCGGGGGAGCACCACAACGGGUGGAGCUUGCGGUUUAAUUGGAUUCAACGCCGGAAAUCUUACCGGGACCGACAGCAACAUGAAGGCCAGGCUGAAGACUUUGCCGGAUUAGCUGAGAGGUGGUGCAUGGCGUAGUCGUGU